This 179-nucleotide small RNA is filed under the name Mytilus galloprovincialis (Mediterranean mussel). The record is from RNAcentral. Lineage: Eukaryota; Metazoa; Mollusca; Bivalvia; Mytilida; Mytilidae.
GUAUAGCGGUGUGACACUGCGAAUCACAGAUUAUACUCCCAAUUUCCUCUAAAAAUUCUCUCAAAACACUGUGUGGCUGUUAAUUUACAUCCAAUGUGCUAAAAAUUUACAAUGUGUGUAGGCUAAUUUUUGGAGGAAAUUGGGAGUAUAUUCUGUGAUUUGCAGUGUUACACCGCUAU